UGCAUCGGCCGGGAAUCGAACCCUUGGGCGCCCGCGUGGCAGGUGAGCAUUUUACCACUGAACCAAAAGC
RNAcentral lists this transfer RNA (70 nucleotides) under Cordylochernes scorpioides. RNAcentral's name for it is "tRNA-Gly". Lineage: Eukaryota; Metazoa; Arthropoda; Arachnida; Pseudoscorpiones; Chernetidae. The record is from RNAcentral.